GAUGAACGCUUGCGGCGUGCCUAAUACAUGCAAGUCGAGCGAACGGACGAGAAGCUUGCUUCUCUGAUGUUAGCGGCGGACGGGUGAGUAACACGUGGAUAACCUACCUAUAAGACUGGGAUAACUUCGGGAAACCGUAGCUAAUACCGGAUAAUAUUUUGAACCGCAUGGUUCAAAAGUGAAAGACGGUCUUGCUGUCACUUAUAGAUGGAUCCGCGCUGCAUUAGCUAGUUGGUAAGGUAACGGCUUACCAAGGCAACGAUGCAUAGCCGACCUGAGAGGGUGAUCGGCCACACUGGAACUGAGACACGGUCCAGACUCCUACGGGAGGCAGCAGUAGGGAAUCUUCCGCAAUGGGCGAAAGCCUGACGGAGCAACGCCGCGUGAGUGAUGAAGGUCUUCGGAUCGUAAAACUCUGUUAUUAGGGAAGAACAUAUGUGUAAGUAACUGUGCACAUCUUGACGGUACCUAAUCAGAAAGCCACGGCUAACUACGUG
This 497-nucleotide ribosomal RNA is filed under the name uncultured bacterium. RNAcentral's name for it is "partial 16S ribosomal RNA". It matches the Rfam family "Bacterial small subunit ribosomal RNA", at positions 28 to 507 of the family's 1533-position model. The record is from RNAcentral.